GACGAACGCUGGCGGCGUGCUUAACACAUGCAAGUCGAACGGAGAGGCCCUGCUUUUGUGGGGUGCUCGAGUGGCGAACGGGUGAGUAACACGUGAGUAACCUGCCCUUGACUUUGGGAUAACUUCAGGAAACUGGGGCUAAUACCGGAUAGGAGCUCCUGCUGCAUGGUGGGGGUUGGAAAGUUUCGGCGGUUGGGGAUGGACUCGCGGCUUAUCAGCUUGUUGGUGGGGUAGUGGCUUACCAAGGCUUUGACGGGUAGCCGGCCUGAGAGGGUGACCGGCCACAUGGGGACUGAGAUACGGCCCAGACUCCUACGGGAGGCAGCAGUGGGGAAUAUUGCACAAUGGGCGGAAGCCUGAUGCAGCAACGCCGCGUGCGGGAUGACGGCCUUCGGGUUGUAAACCGCUUUCGCCUGUGACGAAGCGUGAGUGACGGUAAUGGGUAAAGAAGCACCGGCUAACUACGUG
Molecule: ribosomal RNA, 468 nt
Filed under: uncultured bacterium
Lineage: Bacteria
Description: partial 16S ribosomal RNA
Rfam family: Bacterial small subunit ribosomal RNA
Source: RNAcentral